Molecule: unclassified non-coding RNA, 161 nt
Organism: Aotus nancymaae (Ma's night monkey)
Lineage: Eukaryota; Metazoa; Chordata; Mammalia; Primates; Aotidae
Source: Ensembl
UGGCCACAGUAAGCGUCCUUGCAUCCUGUGGAAUGAGCCAAGGAUAAGCCUGGUCCCUGGCAGGUUGCAGGAUUCUAUCCUGAGAUACAUCCCCUCCUCUUUCCCCUAUUCUAGCCCACAGGGGCCUCUCCUCCAGGCAGGAAACAUGAUCUCCUUUUGAC